GACAUCCGCGGGGGAGCCAUCCGCUUCUCUUCUGUCUUUGACAACCAGUACUUUUAGAAUGAGUGAGUGCUUUGCAUUACAAAGAUCCGGUCCAACAUGCCUGCAGUCCGCACAGCCGUGUCCCACCGACCAGCUGUGGUGACGCCAGUCGCCAACAGCUACAGCGCUUUUCCAGGAGGCUUCAGUUAUUCUGUGACUGGUGACCAAGGCACGACACAUCACCCAGCAACUCACAAUUUCGCUGGCGGAGAGUGUUGCUGAGCAGCUGACCAACUGCGGCUGCUGGAGCGUUUCUCAGUCGUCGACCUCCGUAGACUGUCAAGCCUCCCUGGCCUUCUGCGACUCAAGAAGGAGGGAUUUUUAUCUGUGUUUACCAUACAAGAGACAUUUUAAUCUGACGAUUCGAUCGGAUCUGGAUCAUGAAUCCCGAGGCGGUGUGACAGAUGGUCGAGGCCGGCGCGCCACGCCAGACGCCUUCUCGCGCGGGGCGUGCUCAGGUCAGUCAGGUUGCGCUGCCGGACUCUGCUCCGAGGAGAGAAGCACAUAAGCGCAGUCAGGACGCGAGUGUGGUACUGGUUGCACCGCCCCGGUCCCAGCAACCGCAUGGCGGUGGGGACUCACAGCCCGGCUGAUGGUUCCAGAUCGUCUCAGCGCAGCUUCUUCUCCGGACCCCGGCGCGGCAGCGAGGCUGGUGGUUCGGAGCCGACUGAUGGAGGACAGCAAAAGAACAGCAGGACAGGACAGCACCCUAACAGUAGCCUUCGGUCAUGUGGCGAGAGCUGGGCCCCGGACCGGUCGAAAGGGUGCUCACUGCUCAGCUGAGUGGGUAAUGUCCGCGUCUCGUUAGUGUCCCCGGCCAGGUCCUGAAGGGUAGAUGAGGGCGGGAUAUUCUCCUUUAUAGACGCAGAGCAAUGCCAGAAGAAUGGUUUUGCGAUCGAGUUGCAUGCGCUGUCCCUGCCUGUCGCUCCAACUGCCGCCGGCGGGGUUGGCGCUAAUGGCCAUUGACGGGGCUGCUGUGUUUGUAAAUUAGGUUGGAUGGACCCCUGCUCUCAGAGUUUUGUGUUGGUCGCUGGUAACCCAUGUUUUGUGGCCAGCGUGUUACGAACCCACGUAGUGGUUUGACCCCGUGGGGUGCUGUGAGACAGCGCGGAGCGACGCGUGGAUGCUGCUGAAACACGCUGAUGUUUGUGUGUACCUAUCGUCAUUUUGAAGUGCUGCUUGAGUUUGCUCGUUUGUUCUGUCUUACUGUUUUGUGUUUUCUACCAAGCUAAUGUCGAUAAGAUUGUUCAAUAAAGUUUGAGUUGAGA
Molecule: long non-coding RNA, 1307 nt
Filed under: Amphibalanus amphitrite
Lineage: Eukaryota; Metazoa; Arthropoda; Thecostraca; Balanomorpha; Balanidae
Description: uncharacterized LOC122375853, transcript variant X3
Source: RNAcentral